RNAcentral lists this transfer RNA (91 nucleotides) under Rickettsiales bacterium. RNAcentral describes it as "tRNA-Ser". It matches the Rfam family "tRNA". Rfam says of the family: Transfer RNA (tRNA) molecules are approximately 80 nucleotides in length. The record is from RNAcentral. Lineage: Bacteria; Pseudomonadati; Pseudomonadota; Alphaproteobacteria; Rickettsiales.
GGAAGCGUCGCAUAGCUGGUCUAGUGCACCGUCUUGGAAAGGCGGCAGCCCCGCAAGGGGCUCGUGAGUUCGAAUCUCACCGCUUCCGCCA